CACACACACACGCGCACGCGUACAGCACUGCCUGGAUGCAGAGGUCAGAAAACAACUUGUGAGAGUCAGUCAGUUCUUUCCUUCCACCCUGUGGGACCUGACAGUUGAACUCAGGUCAUCAGGCUUAGUAGUUCAUGUCUCUACCCAUGGAGCAAUCCCCCAAGACUUUUGGUUUUAUGAAUCUACAGAGAAUCUGAUAAGAAAGGCUACCAGACAGAAGAGAAAAAAUAACUAUCUUGUGUUUUGCCAAGUCUCUUCCUCUCACAGGGAAAAACACUUGGCUAGAGAUACUUUGGUAAAUAUACUCAAUGUCAUUUUCACAUUUGAUUUUAUGCCCGGCCCCCUCUACCCUUGGAACUCCUCUCUGUCCUUUCCAUCAAUGUCCACUG
This 389-nucleotide long non-coding RNA is filed under the name Cricetulus griseus (Chinese hamster). RNAcentral's name for it is "lncRNA (ENSCGRG00015033910.1)". Lineage: Eukaryota; Metazoa; Chordata; Mammalia; Rodentia; Cricetidae. The record is from RNAcentral.